This 425-nucleotide long non-coding RNA is filed under the name Physcomitrium patens. Its description in RNAcentral is "long non-coding RNA (PPAT_LNC011295)". The record is from RNAcentral. Lineage: Eukaryota; Viridiplantae; Streptophyta; Bryopsida; Funariales; Funariaceae.
UAUAUUAUGUCCCAAAGAGUGACAAUAGGUAUAAAAUUAAUACCUUAACUUUGAACUCCAAUAACUCCUUUAUAAAAACUUCAAAUCACACAAAAUUUGCAUCCAAUCCAUAUUCAAAAACCUAAACUUGAUGAUUCUAGCCUCCAAAGCUCGAAUAAUUUUGAAAGAAAAAUCUUAAUCCCUAAUAAGGCAUUGGGCAGCCUCAUUGAAGUCCAUUGGACAAGGCCUUCGAUCCAUAGGAAUGAAGAUCCUCAUUUCUUGCCUUCAUCCAACCAUGCCUUGCUUUCAUCCCUCCCAAUAAAUCUCCUAUUAGUUAAGAUUUUCUUCUUUAGGCUCUUAUCUCCUAUCAAGGCUUUAUACUAAAUAUUUAGAUCUUAUAAUUUUUUUAAAUACUAUAAUCAAAAAAGAUAAAAUUUAAAAUAUAU